CCACGGUAGCUCAGAAGGAUUUGGAACAGACACACCAUAGGCUGCAGUGAUGGAUGACCUACUCUUGCCCAGCUAAAGAUUUCUCUGUCUUUCUACAACAUUCAAUGUAUUCACUGCAAUAUGAAGACCCUCCAGGUUCUACAUCAAUCACUCUUUCUUCUCAAUAUCUAUACAAAGGCACUGGGGAAAAUUAUGAAACAACAUUUAAAGUACCAACAAAAUGGA
Molecule: long non-coding RNA, 225 nt
Organism: Cygnus olor (mute swan)
Lineage: Eukaryota; Metazoa; Chordata; Aves; Anseriformes; Anatidae
Exons: 3
Source: RefSeq, a predicted model, not a curated record